GGCAGGCCUAACACAUGCAAGUCGAGCGGCAGCACAGGUACUUGUACCGGGUGGCGAGCGGCGGACGGGUGAGUAAUGCCUAGGAAUCUGCCUGGUAGUGGGGGAUAACGUUCGGAAACGGACGCUAAUACCGCAUACGUCCUACGGGAGAAAGUGGGGGAUCUUCGGACCUCACGCUAUCAGAUGAGCCUAGGUCGGAUUAGCUAGUUGGUGAGGUAAUGGCUCACCAAGGCGACGAUCCGUAACUGGUCUGAGAGGAUGAUCAGUCACACUGGAACUGAGACACGGUCCAGACUCCUACGGGAGGCAGCAGUGGGGAAUAUUGGACAAUGGGCGAAAGCCUGAUCCAGCCAUGCCGCGUGUGUGAAGAAGGUCUUCGGAUUGUAAAGCACUUUAAGUUGGGAGGAAGGGCAUUAACCUAAUACGUUGGUGUUUUGACGUUACCGACAGAAUAAGCACCGGCUAACUCUGUGCCAGCAGCCGCGGUAAUACAGAGGGUGCAAGCGUUAAUCGGAAUUACUGGGCGUAAAGCGCGCGUAGGUGGUUUGUUAAGUUGAAUGUGAAAUCCCCGGGCUCAACCUGGGAACUGCAUCCAAAACUGGCAAGCUAGAGUAUGGUAGAGGGUGGUGGAAUUUCCUGUGUAGCGGUGAAAUGCGUAGAUAUAGGAAGGAACACCAGUGGCGAAGGCGACCACCUGGACUGAUACUGACACUGAGGUGCGAAAGCGUGGGGAGCAAAC
Molecule: ribosomal RNA, 739 nt
Filed under: uncultured bacterium
Lineage: Bacteria
Description: bacterial SSU rRNA
Rfam family: Bacterial small subunit ribosomal RNA
Source: RNAcentral